RNAcentral lists this ribosomal RNA (231 nucleotides) under uncultured Staphylococcus sp. Its description in RNAcentral is "partial 16S ribosomal RNA". It matches the Rfam family "Bacterial small subunit ribosomal RNA", at positions 109 to 334 of the family's 1533-position model. The record is from RNAcentral. Lineage: Bacteria; Bacillati; Bacillota; Bacilli; Caryophanales; Staphylococcaceae.
AGCAACACGUGGAUAACCUACCUAUAAGACUGGGAUAACUUCGGGAAACCGGAGCUAAUACCGGAUAAUAUAUUGAACCGCAUGGUUCAAUAGUGAAAGACGGUUUUGCUGUCACUUAUAGAUGGAUCCGCGCCGCAUUAGCUAGUUGGUAAGGUAACGGCUUACCAAGGCAACGAUGCGUAGCCGACCUGAGAGGGUGAUCGGCCACACUGGAACUGAGACACGGUCCAG